AGAUUUUGAUCCUGGCUCAGGAUGAACGCUAGCGGCAGGCUUAACACAUGCAAGUCGAAGGGCAGCGAGGGGAGUGCUUGCACUCCCUGUCGGCGACUGGCGCACGGGUGAGUAACACGUAUGCAACCUGCCCUCCACAGGGGGACAACCUUCCGAAAGGGAGGCUAAUCCCGCGUAAAUCCCGCGGAGGCAUCUCCGUGGGAGGAAAACUCCGGUGGUGGAGGAUGGGCAUGCGGCGCAUUAGGCAGUCGGCGGGGUAACGGCCCACCGAACCGACGAUGCGUAGGGGUUCUGAGAGGAAGGUCCCCCACACUGGUACUGAGACACGGACCAGACUCCUACGGGAGGCAGCAGUGAGGAAUAUUGGUCAAUGGACGCGAGUCUGAACCAGCCAAGUCGCGUGAGGGAUGACGGCCCUACGGGUUGUAAACCUCUUUUGCCGGGGAGCAAAGAGCGGGACGCGUCCCGCCUCGAGAGUACCCGGAGAAAAAGCAUCGGCUAACUCCGUGCCAGCAGCCGCGGUAAUACGGAGGAUGCGAGCGUUAUCCGGAUUUAUUGGGUUUAAAGGGUGCGCAGGCGGAAGCGCAAGUCAGCGGUAAAAUUGAGAGGCUCAACCUCUUCCCGCCGUUGAAACUGCGUUUCUUGAGUGGGCGAGAAGUACGCGGAAUGCGUGGUGUAGCGGUGAAAUGCAUAGAUAUUACGCAGAACUCCGAUUGCGAAGGCAGCGUACCGGCGCCCAACUGACGCUCAUGCACGAAAGCGUGGGUAUCGAACAGGAUUAGAUACCCUGGUAGUCCACGCAGUAAACGAUGAAUACUCGCUGUCCGGGGAGAUUGGUCUCUGGGCGGCCAAGCGAAAGCGUUAAGUAUUCCACCUGGGGAGUACGCCGGCAACGGUGAAACUCAAAGGAAUUGACGGGGGCCCGCACAAGCGGUGGAACAUGUGGUUUAAUUCGAUGAUACGCGAGGAACCUUACCCGGGCUCAAACGACGGAUGAAUACUUUUGAAAGGAGGUAGUCCUUCGGGACAUCCGUCGAGGUGCUGCAUGGUUGUCGUCAGCUCGUGCCGUGUGGUGUCGGCUUAAGUGCCAUAACGAGCGCAACCCCCAUCGCCAGUUGCCAACAGGUAAAGCUGGGAACUCUGGCGAGACUGCCGGCGCAAGCUGUGAGGAAGGCGGGGAUGACGUCAAAUCAGCACGGCCCUUACAUCCGGGGCGACACACGUGUUACAAUGGCAGGUACAGAGAGAUGCGACACGGCGACGUGGAGCGGAACUGUCAAAACCUGUCUCAGUUCGGAUCGGAGUCUGCAACCCGACUCCGUGAAGCUGGAUUCGCUAGUAAUCGCGCAUCAGCCAUGGCGCGGUGAAUACGUUCCCGGGCCUUGCACACACCGCCCGUCA
This 1401-nucleotide ribosomal RNA is filed under the name uncultured bacterium. RNAcentral describes it as "16S ribosomal RNA". It matches the Rfam family "Bacterial small subunit ribosomal RNA". The record is from RNAcentral.